AGGAAGAAGAAGUUGCCCUGGCCAGAUCAUAUGUUUUAACAAUUAAAAUGAUGUUUAAAUAAAAAGGUCUUUACCUGGCGCCGAAAAACCAGUAAUGACGGUUUUUACUAAUUACUAGUUUACUAAUUAGUUUACUAAUUAGUUACUAAUGUUACUAAUUGCUUAUAUAAUUCUUAUAUAAAUUAUUUGCCAUUGAAAUACUGAAGAACUGGAAACACAAAGGCGUUUGUUUGGCUAUGAAAAAAGAUAUAAAAUAUUCAGAACAUUGUUUGUUACACUGAGUGACUUUUCAGCCAAUUGAAAAGAUCACCGUCCAACCUGAUACAUUUAGAUAGUCUUCAAUGAGAUUGCAGGAAAUUCUUCAUUCUACUUUACAUGAAAGUUGCUGCUGCUGUCAUCCAUGUUAGAUCUUAUGUGAAUGUGUAUAUGCAGCAUACUUCAUUUGUGCAGUGCUUGCUUUCUAGAAGCCGCUUUGUUGUGUAUGACCAACGUGGAAGAUAACUUGGCAUACUGACUGGCACAUCGUUACAACUCAUGAUGGCUGACAAGUGGGACCUGUAACAUAAGAGCGCUUUUGGCCAGCCAGCACAGACUGAUUCAAGGAUAAUUCAUUCCCGACCACCCAUUUUUAAUGAGUUUCUCUUGCCCUUUAAUGUUGGUAGGGGAACUUUUCCCCUGGCAAAGGAAAACACCUUGGACUCCCAUGAAAAAACCUUUCUGUUGUUUCUCAGUGUCCCCAUUCUGGUUACAAAAGCUUUCCAUUGGAGAGAACAAUGCUGUCCUGGGCAAAAUGGGCCAGGAUAAAUUAGAUCUGUGAAUGUUGUCUUUAGAAUCUACAGUUGUAUAGGCACUUUCACUGGCUAGCUUUGAAAAACUCCUCUUUCUUGUACUAUUAUUGCUUGCUCGAUAUUUUAUACAAAAAGAGGGGGGAAGGUACGAGGAAAACAAUGGAUUGUGAUCAGUCAGCUAGUAAAAAUCGUCCUGCCUCUUAAGUGACAUAAUUGUUGUAUGAAUUGUUUUUCACCAGCAGGUGUCAGUAUGGGCAUUUGAGGUACUUUCUAAAUGUGAGUUGUACUUAUUUGCAUUUCCAUCUCCUCUAACAUCUCACUCUUCAAACAUUUUGGGCAAGUAAGUUCCAUUGAUUUCAGCUUUCUUUUAAGGCUAUCUCUGCACUAGUGUGUGUGAGAGAGACAAUGCAGGUAAGAACCAUUUCUGCUUUCAGUUAAAUUGAAUGGAGAAAAGUCCCCAGCGUUCACUAUAGGUGCAGAUGGAGUGGCCCCAAGGAACCAAAUUGUGAAAAAGAAAAAAUAGGUAGUCCUGGAGCCAUCCCAGCUGCAUCAUUGUGUGGCCAAUGAAGAGAACUGUUCUGUAGGAUGAGGUGAUGCCCUGAGGAUUUAAGACUUCUGGGCUGCAUCUUUUUUGAUUUUAGCUGCAAUGGUGGUAGUAAUAUUUUUAGUGCAUCCCCAAUUAGAAAGCUAUCCUAUGCAUGGGGAAGAAUGGCCUGGUGCCCUACAUAAUGAAAGGCAGCCAUCUCUUUGAAGAGCUGUCCUGUUCAAGCUUGGCUUAAAGGGAAGGGAAUGCUGAGAGGGGACUUGAAGUUGCCCAUCUACAGUUAGCACCUGGGCAGCAGACUGAGCAGCAACCUGGUCUUCCCCUCUUAAGGUGAGAUGCAUUGUAUUUACAAUUAAAUUACGGUGAUUCUUUUAAGUGUGCGCAUAUAUAUAAAGGAUGUGCAAAUUUUAUGCGAAUGUGUGUCUUUUGGUACAUUUUUCAUAGUGUAACUGAACACUCUAUAGGAGAGAAGGGCUAUCUUAAGCCUUCUUCUGCCAUGUGCUAAUUUUUGAUACAGCAUUCAAACAUACCGUUUCCCUUUCAGCAAUCUGAAGUGGUAUAGCCCAUGGGCCCUGCCAACCCAUUUCCCCAUCUCAUUAUGUAGAUCAUCCAUAGACCACCUCACAGAACAUCACAGAGUGGACUUAAGCUGGUAUAUGCCAUGCUUCUGUCCAAGCCUUCCCAGGGAGGCCUGCCUCCACUUAGAGGAAUGUAGUGCUCCCUUUCUGCCGCAGUCCACUUUUCUAAUUUCACAUGGCAAUGUCGGGCCAGUGGAGACAACUAACUCCUUGGUUCAUUUAGCUCAUAAUCAGAAUUGACAAUAUUUCUUAAGGAGUACCUUAAUUGCUACAAAAAUGCCUACAUAGAGGCUCAUGUGGGAUCAGUUGAAAACAGAAGAGCAGGUAUUAUGUCUUAGUAGUUUGACACUGGACACUAGCAGUUCUCUCCCACAUAAAUAGCAAGAGUAAGAUUGCUUUAAACCCUGGUACCAACAUGACACACUAAUAUUUUAAAUACUUGAAUGCACUUAACCACAUCACCUAGAGAGGGUAUCCUGAGAAUGAAAUUUCCUAGAAACUGGUUUCCAGUUUUCAUUUAAUGAAUGAACUCCCAUUCUGUGACCUGGUGAUAGAAAUGUGUUUGUUACUGAAUGUGCUGAAUAAACACUUUUCUUUCCCACCAUCCUGUAAAAUAAUUUCCCCUAUCUUUUUGUAUCAGUUUUUCAACCGGGGUUCUGCCCAAAAACAUUGUCAUUGAAUUUUGUGGUUCUUAAAUAAAUUACUUAAUAUUUUACUUAUUUAUUUAUUACUGGGGAAUGAGGCUAUAAUCCUGUGCAUACUUGCUUGGAAGUUACUUGGCCCUACUGAAACUAAUGGAAUUUAAUUCAGGGUAAAAAUAUGUAGGAGCCAGGUGCAGGGGAGCAAAAACUUCAAAAUUAUAUACUUCUGCAUUGACAUGAAAAUAAAAGUUUGGUAUAAGGCCAUGUUGACAUCAUUACUUCAGUGUCAGAGAAAUACUAUAAGGUAUUCAGGGCACAAACCUAUGCAUGUCUAGGCCUAAAAAAAAGUCCUACAAUUUCCAGCAUUCGGUCCAGAUAUGCAUAGGAUUUUAUCCUAGGGCUGGUUGCAGAUGUAAUAAUACUUACUGUAGUUUCAUUGUUAUCAAUGACAAAAGCUGACCUGCCCUUUGGUUGCCGUAGUAUACAAUAGGGAUGGGAAACUUGUGGCCCUGGAGAUGUUGUGAACUUCAGUUCACACCAUUCCUCACUAUUGUACUGCAACAGAUGAAAGUUGCAGUACAACUACAUCUGGAAGAUGCCAUGUUCCCCAUCCCAUGCUUGCUGUUAUGUAAGUAUAUUGAACUCAGUGGGGCUUACUCCUGAGUAGAUUCACAUAGCUUUCUCUGGAAGGUCUUUUGAAUGCCUGUAGUGUCCAUAGAGAAGAAUACUGCUUUUCUUUGAGAAUUGCUUUCAUUCAUUCAUUGGACCUGCUCCUAGAACAUUCACAACCUUGAAACUACUUCUCAUUGAAAAGGACUCUGUAUUCAUGCUCCUUUCUCACUUCCUCUCCCGUCAUAGGACCAGUUCACCCAAUUUUUAAUAUGGAAAAAACUGUGAGUAGUGGAUCAGUAAUAUGGAUCAAUGCAGUGGAUCAAUGAUACACUAUGAUAUGCAAAGUGUAACAGUGUACUUAUGCAUGUACGUAUAUUUCCUGCAAUCCUUACCCUUAAAAUUGUUGGGAAGAAUGUCAGAAACCAGAUACAUACCUAUGCUGCACAUGAUGACAUACUGCUCCAGAACAUGGAGCAACACUAGCAUGGAGGGGAAUGGACUCCUUCCACAUGCCUUGGAGCAGCUCAGAUGACCUGAGGAGCACAGGUGCUAGCUCUGAUGCAGUGGCUUCCUUGCCACAAGAGUAGUAGAGUGGACAAAGUUAGUAUGUUAAUUCAGCAUGAAUGGUUGGUGUGCUAAACAACCUAUGCAGCACAAACUGCACAAUAUUUGAACUGUAAUGACCCUAAAAGCUAAAUGAAGUUUCCUUUGAAGGACCAAUUUUAAGAUAAAAGCAAUUUCAUAAUAGUUGUCAUUCUUAUAAUUUGCCAUGCCUUGUUUGUUAGGAUCACAUAGAAAACGUGUAAUUUGUCCCAGAGGCACUUCUGAUUGCAGUUGAUAUAAUAUUAUAUAAAUGACCUUUUUAGUCUGAUUUCAUGGGUUUUGUUUUUGGGUACUUUUUUCCCUUGAAAACAGAAUGUUGCUUACAUCCCGUCUAAAGAACACUUUCAAUUGCAUGGACAAUUUGUCUGGGCCAAAGUCUUAUCUACAGAGAGUCUGAUUCAGCUUUGGGGACUUAGACUGCAUGUUCUUGUUGUUUGUUUCUUUUAAAAAUGCAUAUAUGCGCCUUGUUAAAAAACACUGUUGCCCCCAUCUAGGAACAAUACAACACUCACAUCAUUUCCUGAAAAAAUGGAAGAGUUGGAAGGCAAUUAUCUACUCACCAAACAAGCUAAAGCAACAGUUCCUGAUAUUCUUCUGAAAUACUUCAACUUCCCAAGAAUCCGGAAAAGAUAAUUCCAUGAGAUGGUGCUGUGAAUGAAGCAUGACUUUGUAGUAUUAUAAAAGCAGUCUUCAGUCUUUCAAAUAAUUCAAACUACAAUAUCUUCUUGAGUGGAAUGAAAUACUGCAACAGUGGUGAUACAAUGGACAUUCAGCAGGAACUUCCACAAUAAGGGUGAUUCGCAAAGAAGCACACCUCAGAGUCCUCAUUCCAGUUCCAAGUCUUCCAUCUUUAGAGAAGCUCCAUGAGUUAUAUCAUUUUCCCAGUAACCAAGAGCCAUUUUCUGCUGCAUUUCCUUGCAGAUGGUCAAUAGGUAGUGCAAAUGCCAGUGCAAACCCCAUUAAUUUGGGAGGCAAACCCAACAAAUGAUGGGGAAAAUAAAAAAAGGACUAUCUCAUGGCACAGAAAACUUGCUCCUGUGGGCAUAACAGCAAAUAGUUGAAGAUUAGUUCAUAGUUGAAGAAUUAAAGAUCUUCUGGAAAGCAGGGCUGAAUGAGGUAGUUUUGAGCUCUCAUCCCCACCUGAACAAAAAGAUCCACAGUGCCAAGCUGUCUUCUAUUUAGUCUCAUGGAGAGGAUUCUAGAAAGCCACCCGAGGAACCUGAAAGUGUCUUCACCACCUAUCUGGCCAUUACCUUUGAAAGGGUUUUAGAGAACUAUUCCUUGAACACUAACAUGCAGAAGGAAGAGAUUUUUACUGAAUCGCCUCAAAAAACUUAAGCCCUACUAAUUGCAGAAUACUGCUGAAGUUUGUGCAUAUGUUCCGAGGAGACCAAGUAGGUUGAUGUGAUCCACUUCAGCUUAAGAUGAAACAGCCAGAAGAUCUCAAACAUUUAGAAAGCAACCUACCCAUAUAAUUUUUUGGCUUGUGCAUGUUCUAAGAUGGUACAAUAAUAUAUGAUCUUGAUUUACUCAGAACUCUCAUAAUAUGGAACCAAAAGAACAUCUUCACUUGGAACCAAUUACUCUAAAGCAGCCAAUAACUGAGGUGAUAUAAUUGAAGAAGUGAACUUACUGACAAAGUUAUAGCAGUAAAUAAGGGCAAACAGGACAGCGUGGGCACACAGAUAUGUUUCACUUGAAUCUGCACUCCAGAUUAAAAGGAAGUGGUGCUUUCCAAGGACACAUGUCCAUACUGCAUUGUGAUCUACAGUGCCACACUGGGAGCAUGAAAUGCUGACCUGUGUUGUGAAUCUCCACUAAGUGGGUACAAGGAGAGCGUACACACACACACACACACACACACACAUUAUGGGAUUGUGCUUUUGGACUGUUAUUGCCAUCUGUUAGACUGUCAAGUGCAUGUCUUGUGGAUGGCAAAACUAUGUCAUUUUAUUCAACAACUUUCCACUCCCACCCCUGUACAAGAGGUACAGAUCAUUGAUGUAAUUGGGAUAGAAGCUCACAGAUAGCAGCAUCACUUUUUCCCUCUACUGAGAUUACAAUAUCCUUCCUAACCAAUGACAAUUGAGCUGUCAUGAAAAUUACAUCAUAUUAUCUCUCCAGAGAGACCAGCAUUUCAGUCAAAGGACAGCUGUCAAAACAUACUUGACUACGAAAUUCAGAAGGUUUCUAAGAGCAUGUGCAUUAGUUUGUUUUCCUUUGAAUAGUCUACAUUUUAGGACAAAUUAAGAGCAGUAUAUAAAUUGAAAUGGUUCAUAGAAUUGGCUUAGAAUUUCUUAGAUGUCAACAUCAAAAAUAAUUCAUUUACAUGAAUCUGACCGAACACACUUGA
Molecule: long non-coding RNA, 6119 nt
Organism: Varanus komodoensis (Komodo dragon)
Lineage: Eukaryota; Metazoa; Chordata; Lepidosauria; Squamata; Varanidae
Exons: 3
Source: RefSeq, a predicted model, not a curated record